CCCGGGGCCGGGCCCGACCGCCACGCAGGCACCUGCCGUCGCCGCCGCCGCCAUACGGGUCGGAGAGGCUGCGAGCCGCUCCCGGGGAAGAUCCGGCUCCCAUCCGGCCCCGCCCGCCCUGCCUUAUCCUGCCCGCAACUCCGGGGCUGCCCGGCUCGAUUCCGGUCUUCCCGUGUCUGAGACAGGCAGACAGACAGAUGGGAAAGGACAAAUGGGGCCUGGUAGCCCUAGCCAGGUGUCCGUCAUUCCUCCUCUCUCAACAUUGAUGGUGAUGCUGGUCUAGCCCCAGAGAGAGUGUCGUAGGUGGAGGGAAGCCUCCUUGGACAGCAGUAAGGAGCUACAGUUUCCCCUUAGGGGCCUAAUUUCCCCCAGAACUCCACUCCCAGUCCCCAAGACCCGCUUUUCCAGACCAGGGCCAGGGAACGGGCCUCUCGUCCAGGUCCCUCCUCCCUGCCUGGCCAGGGGCGGAGACUCCAGGCGCCAGGCUGGCCUGCAGCUGGAGAAACAGACAGCUGUGGCAGCUGACCGACCCCCUGCCCACCUGCUGGUUGUGACUCAGCCUUGGAACCUCUGGAUGCAGAGGGUACCCAGGGUCUAUAGGGAAAAACUGAGAAGCAGAGUGCAGCUUAUACGCAGGGGAGCUUGGAUUUGAACCCAGGCUUUAGCGCAAGACUCCAGAGCACUCUUAACCCUUCAGUGUCUGUAUGAUCAGGGGCGGGUGAUUGAGACACCUUCUCUCCUCCUCUCCGUGGCCGUGGAAUGGGAUAUGUGCAUGUGUAAGCGAAGGGCAUACUUGUGUGUGACUCCAACACCCAGCACAGAGUGGCACACAGCACAUUGUAUUAAACGUUUGAGGAAUA
Long non-coding RNA from Prionailurus viverrinus (fishing cat), 860 nucleotides. RefSeq lists it as uncharacterized. NCBI's taxonomy places the organism in Eukaryota, Metazoa, Chordata, Mammalia, Carnivora, Felidae. The record is from RefSeq and is a predicted model, not a curated record. The transcript is spliced from 6 exons.